This 301-nucleotide ribosomal RNA is filed under the name uncultured bacterium. Its description in RNAcentral is "bacterial SSU rRNA". It matches the Rfam family "Bacterial small subunit ribosomal RNA", at positions 28 to 334 of the family's 1533-position model. The record is from RNAcentral.
GACGAACGCUGGCGGCGUGCCUAACACAUGCAAGUCGAACGGAGUACCCUUCGGGGUGCUUAGUGGCGAACGGGUGAGUAACGCGUGAAGAACCUGCCUUUCAGUGGGGGACAACAGUUGGAAACGACUGCUAAUACCGCAUAAUGUUAUUUGGGGGCAUCCUCGAAUAACCAAAGAUUUAUUGCUGAAAGAUGGCUUCGCGUCUGAUUAGCUAGAUGGCGGGGUAACGGCCCACCAUGGCGACGAUCAGUAGCCGGUCUGAGAGGAUGAACGGCCACAUUGGGACUGAGAUACGGCCCAG